UUACCGAGUUCUCGCAACUCCCAAACCCCCUGUGAACACUACCUACGUUGCCUCGGCGCGGGGGCCGGCGCGAGCCUCUCCCCCCCCGCCGGCGGCCUACCUAUCAAAUUCUUGUCUCUUACCUGAGCUCUGAAACUAUACAAACAGAAUACGUUAAAACUUUCAACAACGGAUCUCUUGGUUCUGGCAUCGAUGAAGAACGCAGCGAAAUGCGAUAAGUAAUGUGAAUUGCAGAAUUCAGUGAAUCAUCGAAUCUUUGAACGCACAUUGCGCCCGCUGGCAUUCCAGCGGGCAUGCCUGUUCGAGCGUCAUUUCGACCACUUAAGCCCUUUGUUGCUUAGCGUUGGGAGCCUACCGCGGGCGGCCUCGGCCGCUGCGGUCGCUCCCCAAAGUCAGUGGCGGAGCCGGGUUCGUGCUCUAGGCGUAGUAGAAUCUUCCAUCUCGCCUGCAGCCGGGACCGGUCCCCUGCCGUAAAACACCCCACUUCUUUCAAUGGUUGACCUCGGAUCAGGUAGGAAUACCCGCUGAACUUAAGCAUAUCAAUAAGCGGAGGAAAAGAAACCAACAGGGAUUGCCUCAGUAACGGCGAGUGAAGCGGCAACAG
RNAcentral lists this ribosomal RNA (604 nucleotides) under fungal endophyte. RNAcentral's name for it is "eukaryotic LSU rRNA". The stretch from base 158 to 311 matches the Rfam family "5.8S ribosomal RNA". Lineage: Eukaryota; Fungi. The record is from RNAcentral.